Molecule: ribosomal RNA, 442 nt
Filed under: uncultured bacterium
Lineage: Bacteria
Description: partial 16S ribosomal RNA
Rfam family: Bacterial small subunit ribosomal RNA
Source: RNAcentral
CCUACGGGUGGCAGCAGUGGGGAAUAUUGGGCAAUGGACGCAAGUCUGACCCAGCAACGCCGCGUGAAGGAUGAAGGCCUUCGGGUUGUAAACCUCUUUUAAGAGGGAAGAGCAGAAGAUGGUAUCCCUUGCAUAGGCUACGGCUAACUACGUGCCAGCAGCCGCGGUAAUACGGAGGUGGCAGGCGUUGUACGGAUUUAGUGGGUGUAAAGGGCGUGCAGCCGGGAUGACAAGUCAGGUGUGAAAUCCACGGGCUCAACCCGGGAACUGCAUUUGAAACUGGUUACCUUGAGUGUUGGAGAGGUUAGUGGAAUUCCAUGUGUAGGAGUGAAAUGCGUAGAUAUAAGGAAGAACAUCAGUGGCGAAGGCGAAUUUCUGGAAGAUAACUGACGGUGAGGCGCGAAAGCGUGGGGAGCAAACAGGAUUAGAUACCCUUGUAGUC